GCUUCUGUGGCGUAGUGGUAGCACGCGUUCCCACUAUGGAAGGAACGCGGGUUCAACUUCCGCCUGAGGUCA
Molecule: non-coding RNA, 72 nt
Organism: Parelaphostrongylus tenuis
Lineage: Eukaryota; Metazoa; Nematoda; Chromadorea; Rhabditida; Metastrongylidae
Source: the annotation of a GenBank genome assembly